RNAcentral lists this ribosomal RNA (543 nucleotides) under Cephalodasys turbanelloides. RNAcentral describes it as "SSU rRNA". It matches the Rfam family "Eukaryotic small subunit ribosomal RNA", at positions 347 to 891 of the family's 1831-position model. Lineage: Eukaryota; Metazoa; Gastrotricha; Macrodasyida; Lepidodasyidae. The record is from RNAcentral.
GGUCUGUAACGGGUAACGGAGAAUCAGGGUUCGAUUCCGGAGAGGGAGCCUGAGAAACGGCUACCACAUCCAAGGUAAGGCAGCAGGCGCGCAAAUAACCCACUCCCCGGCACGGGGAAGUAGUGACGAAAAAUAACAAUGCUGAGUUUUAAAUUCGGUAAUUGGAAUGAGAUCACUUUAAAUCCUUUAACGAGGAUCUAGUGGAGGGCAAGUCUGGUGCCAGCAGCCGCGGUAAUUCCAGCUCCACGAGCUAGUACGUAAGUUGUUGCAGUUAAAAAGCUCGUAGUUGGAUCUCGGACCUGUGACCGGUGGUCUGCCCGAUACGGGUAUGUACUGCCGUGUCCGGUCUACGUCUGGUAAUAUUGCAUAGUGCUCUUAACCGGGUGCUAUGUAAUGCCAGAAAGUUUACUCUGAAAAAAUUAGAGUGCUUAAAGCAGGCCUUGUGCUUGAAUACUGUUGCAUGGAAUAAUGGAAUAGGACCUCGGAUCUAUUUUGUUGGUUUUCGGAGUCGAGGUAAUGAUUAAGAGGGACAGACGGGGCAUC